GACGAACGCUGGCGGCGUGCUUAACACAUGCAAGUCGAACGGAAAGGCCCUGCUUUUGUGGGGUGCUCGAGUGGCGAACGGGUGAGUAACACGUGAGUAACCUGCCCUUGACUUUGGGAUAACUUCAGGAAACUGGGGCUAAUACCGGAUAGGAGCUCCUGCUGCAUGGUGGGGGUUGGAAAGUUUCGGCGGUUGGGGAUGGACUCGCGGCUUAUCAGCUUGUUGGUGGGGUAGUGGCUUACCAAGGCUUUGACGGGUAGCCGGCCUGAGAGGGUGACCGGCCACAUGGGGACUGCGAUACGGCGCAGACGCCUACGGGAGGCAGCAGUGGGGAAUAUUGCACAAUGGGCGGAAGCCUGAGGCAGCAACGCCGCGUGCGGGAUGACGGCUUUCGGGUUGUAAACCGCUGUCGCCUGUGACGAAGCGUGAGUGACGGUAAUGGGUAAAGAAGCACCGGCUAACUACGUG
RNAcentral lists this ribosomal RNA (468 nucleotides) under uncultured bacterium. RNAcentral's name for it is "partial 16S ribosomal RNA". It matches the Rfam family "Bacterial small subunit ribosomal RNA", at positions 28 to 507 of the family's 1533-position model. The record is from RNAcentral.